RNAcentral lists this ribosomal RNA (305 nucleotides) under uncultured bacterium. RNAcentral's name for it is "bacterial SSU rRNA". It matches the Rfam family "Bacterial small subunit ribosomal RNA", at positions 338 to 637 of the family's 1533-position model. The record is from RNAcentral.
CCUACGGGGGGCAGCAGUAGGGAAUUUUCGUCAAUGGGCGCAAGCCUGAACGAGCGAUGCCGCGUGAGUGAAGAAGGCCUUCGGGUCGUAAAGCUCUGUUGCGGGGAAAAAAGGCAGCAUCAGGAAAUGGGUGCUGACUGAUGGUGCCCCGCCAGAAAGUCACGGCUAACUACGUGCCAGCAGCCGCGGUAAUACGUAGGUGGCGAGCGUUAUCCGGAAUGAUUGGGCGUAAAGGGUGCGCAGGCGGAAGAUCAAGUCAGCGGUAAAAUUGAGAGGCUCAACCUCUUCGAGCCGUUGAAACUGGU